GAUGAACGCUGGCGGCGUGCCUAAUACAUGCAAGUCGAGCGAACAGACGAGGAGCUUGCUCCUCUGACGUUAGCGGCGGACGGGUGAGUAACACGUGGAUAACCUACCUAUAAGACUGGGAUAACUUCGGGAAACCGGAGCUAAUACCGGAUAAUAUAUUGAACCGCAUGGUUCAAUAGUGAAAGACGGUUUUGCUGUCACUUAUAGCUGGAUCCGCGCCGCAUUAGCUAGUUGGUAAGGUAACGGCUUACCAAGGCAACGAUGCGUAGCCGACCUGAGAGGGUGAUAGGCCACACGGGAACGGAGACACGGUCCAGACUCCUACGGGAGGCAGCAGUAGGGAAUCUUACGCAAUGGGCGAAAGCCUGACGGAGCAACGCCGCGUGAGUGAUGAAGGUCUUCGGAUCGUAAAACUCUGUUAUUAGGGAAGAACAAAUGUGUAAGUAACUAUGCACGUCUUGACGGUACCUAAUCAGAAAGCCACGGCUAACUACGUG
RNAcentral lists this ribosomal RNA (497 nucleotides) under uncultured bacterium. RNAcentral describes it as "partial 16S ribosomal RNA". It matches the Rfam family "Bacterial small subunit ribosomal RNA", at positions 28 to 507 of the family's 1533-position model. The record is from RNAcentral.